AACGAGGCCGACCUGCGGCUGAGUUACCUGCGGAAGGAUCAUUAAAAAGAGUGUGUACCCCUCUGUAAAAUGAGUGGGUUACCUCCCGUCCUUUGUUGACCUCUUAGGAGGUUAUUUUGAACUUUCUGCUUCGGUGGGGUUAAACCUACCGGAACACCCUCAAAUUCUUAUCAUUUAAAAAUUGUUCAGUCUGAUUUUUGUUAAUAAAAACAAAAAACUUUCAACAAUGGAUCUCAGAUC
RNAcentral lists this unclassified non-coding RNA (240 nucleotides) under soil metagenome. RNAcentral's name for it is "partial contains 5.8S ribosomal RNA, internal transcribed spacer 2, and large subunit ribosomal RNA". The record is from RNAcentral.